Molecule: ribosomal RNA, 481 nt
Filed under: uncultured bacterium
Lineage: Bacteria
Description: partial 16S ribosomal RNA
Rfam family: Bacterial small subunit ribosomal RNA
Source: RNAcentral
UUGAACGCUGGCGGCAUGCCUUACACAUGCAAGUCGAACGGUAACGGGCCUUCGGGUGCCGACGAGUGGCGAACGGGUGAGUAAUACAUCGGAACGUGCCCGAUCGUGGGGGAUAACGAGGCGAAAGCUUUGCUAAUACCGCAUACGAUCUACGGAUGAAAGCAGGGGACCGCAAGGCCUUGCGCGGACGGUGCGGCCGAUGGCAGAUUAGGUAGUUGGUGGGAUAAAAGCUUACCAAGCCGACGAUCUGUAGCUGGUCUGAGAGGAUGAUCAGCCACACUGGGACUGAGACACGGCCCAGACUCCUACGGGAGGCAGCAGUGGGGAAUUUUGGACAAUGGGCGCAAGCCUGAUCCAGCCAUGCCGCGUGCAGGAUGAAGGCCUUCGGGUUGUAAACUGCUUUUGUACGGAACGAAAAGCCGUCUUUUAAUACAGGAGGGUCAUGACGGUACCGUAAGAAUAAGCACCGGCUAACUACGUG